Long non-coding RNA from Lathyrus oleraceus (garden pea), 753 nucleotides. RefSeq lists it as uncharacterized. The transcript has 3 exons. Lineage: Eukaryota; Viridiplantae; Streptophyta; Magnoliopsida; Fabales; Fabaceae. The record is from RefSeq and is a predicted model, not a curated record.
AACACGUUUAUCACGUGUUGCAACUUGGUGCUAGAAAUUCAAAACAUAGAAACUCCCUCCACCUGACUUCAGAUCCCCUCCGCCGCGUCGGAGGUCGCCUCUGGCGAUGGAGGAGCCCUAAUAUCAAAACACCAUACAUCAACGCCUUCAUCUUCUUCCCCUGAACACGAAUCUUACCAUGAAAAUCUCCAAUUCCUCUUAAAUCACUAAAAACAUGACAGAAUCCACAUGAACUCUAGAUCUUAGAUCUGAAAUUAAAUCAUGUUCUCUUGGAAUCAAAACCCUAGAGGUUAUGGCUUUGAUUCCCCUAACUGAACCUCACAUCUCGGUAUAAAAAAAGAGCAAAACGAUGAAGGCAUGAGAACUCACCGGCGUGGAGGUCACCGGAAUUUCAGGAUUCUUGUAGAUUGGAUUGAACUGCUACAGGGUGUUAACACAUGACCUGCUUGUUGGAUGGAAAUGGAUUGUGUUGGCUAGGCUGCAGACUGUUGUGUUUACUUGCUACAUAACCAUAGUUAUGAAGGUGAUGGAUAAUGCAAAUAUGAUCUUGAAGAACAAGGACAUUGGGGAUUUUGAAAUGAUGAGUUGACUUUGGUCAACUGAUUGACCAAAAAGUCAACUUAUGCAAAACUGUAAUUUUCUUUGUAAUUUUUUCCAAUGCAUCAUGGACUAUGUAAUAUAAUGAAUAGAAUGUAUUUUCUUUAAUUAAGAAUGUUCUAAUGACACAAUGAAAUAAUUGGAUUCAACUGGCCA